UUUCCGUAGGUGAACCUGCGGAAGGAUCAUUACAGAGUUCAUGCCCUCACGGGUAGAUCUCCCACCCUUGAAUAUUUAUACCUUAGUUGCUUUGGCAGGCCGUGGAAACACCAUGGGCUCCGGCUUAUGCGUGCCUGCCAGAGGAAACAAACUCUGUUUUUAAUGAUGUCUGAGUACUAUAUAAUAGUUAAAACUUUCGACAACGGAUCUCUUGGUUCUG
Molecule: unclassified non-coding RNA, 220 nt
Filed under: plant metagenome
Description: partial contains small subunit ribosomal RNA, internal transcribed spacer 1, and 5.8S ribosomal RNA
Source: RNAcentral